Molecule: ribosomal RNA, 463 nt
Filed under: uncultured bacterium
Lineage: Bacteria
Description: partial 16S ribosomal RNA
Rfam family: Bacterial small subunit ribosomal RNA
Source: RNAcentral
GAUGAACGCUGACAGAAUGCUUAACACAUGCAAGUCUUUGGCGAAGCUGUGCUUGCACCGCCUAGCCAAGGCGGACGGGUGAGUAACGCGUAAGGAACUUGCCCUGCAGUCAGGGAUAACAGACGGAAACGACUGAUAAGACCUGGUAAAGUCAGGCGGACUCAUGUCCAGCCUGAUGAAAAGAGAUGCUGCAGGAGAGCCUUGCGUCCUAUUAGCUUGUUGGUGGGGUAACGGCCCACCAAGGCGAUGAUAGGUAGCCGGCCUGAGAGGGUGGACGGCCACAAGGGGAAUGAGAUACGGCCCUUACUCCUACGGGAGGCAGCAGUGGGGAAUAUUGGACAAUGGGGGCAACCCUGAUCCAGCAAUUCUGUGUGCAAGAUGAAGGUUUUCGGAUUGUAAAGUGCUUUCAGCAGGGAAGAAAAAAAUGACGGUACCUGCAGAAGAAGCGACGGCUAAAUACGUG